AUUGAACGCUGGCGGAAUGCUUUACACAUGCAAGUCGAACGGUAGAGGGGGCAACCCCCUUGAGAGUGGCGAACGGGUGAGUAAUAUAUCGGAACGUGCCCAGUCGUGGGGGAUAACGUAGCGAAAGUUACGCUAAUACCGCAUACGAUCUACGGAUGAAAGCGGGGGACUCGCAAGAGCCUCGCGCGAUUGGAGCGGCCGAUAUCAGAUUAGGUAGUUGGUGGGGUAAAGGCUCACCAAGCCAACGAUCUGUAGCUGGUCUGAGAGGACGACCAGCCACACUGGAACUGAGACACGGUCCAGACUCCUACGGGAGGCAGCAGUGGGGAAUUUUUGGACAAUGGACGCAAGUCUGAUCCAGCCAUUCCGCGUGCAGGUUACGAAGGCCUCGG
Molecule: ribosomal RNA, 392 nt
Filed under: uncultured bacterium
Lineage: Bacteria
Description: bacterial SSU rRNA
Rfam family: Bacterial small subunit ribosomal RNA
Source: RNAcentral